AGAGAGAAGAUGGCAGUGGCUUCAGCCAUCAACAGGAAAAAUUGUACCCAGUAAGCAGCAGAGAUCGUGUUUGUGGCUCCCACUUUUCUUCAGAGGACAUCGGACUGCAUCAGGUACAGCACCUCCACACCUCCACCCUCCAAGCUUCCUCGCUGCUCCUCCCCCCUCUCUCCUCUCUCCUCUACCUCUCCCACUCGCUCUCCCUUCUUUCCCUCCCUCUCCUCCUCCUUCUCCUCCUCUUCCUCUCCCCCCCUUGCUGAACCCUUCUUUCCCUCCCUCUCCUCCUCCUGUUUCUCCUCUUCCUCCAUUCUCUCCUAUCUCCUUACGCUCCUACUCCCCCUCUCACUCUCCUUUAUCUCCCAUUCCUCCCUCGCUCUUUCCUCUCUUCUCCCCCUCCUCUUCGUCCUCUCGCUCAUCUUUUUCUCCCCUCCCUCCCCCUGUCUCUCCUCUUCCUCCUUCUCCUCCUCCCCACUGACCGGCCGCUGGAGUCUCCGGAUUUCAGAGCACGAGGACAAACUCUUCGUCCUUCGGAGGCUUCCUCCACUCUCUCCCUCCAACACUUUUUCUGUGGAGUGGGCUCCUGACCAACCGGCAGGAGCCGCUCCAGUGAAUGUUAAUAACCCCUCUGCCCUACCUCCGCAGCCCCAGCAGCCGGCUGCCAAGCCUCGUGCAAAGGCAGUGGGUCCGGUUCCAAAGUGGGUCAGGAACCUUCGGGCCCUCCUAAAGUUGAGGAACGGGCAACGCCGCCCCCCAAGGUAAGAGCCCUGCUGGACCUUCUGCCAGCCAACCCCCAGGUAGUCUCAUUAACUUUCAUUUUAGUUAAAUUUAAUACUAGUUUAAUUUGAAACCUUUUAGCAAUGUGUGAUUUCCUGGAUGUGAUCGAUCAGAUUUUAUUGAAAUGAGUCUGUUGUGAUUAUGUCUGAUCAGAUCUACUCCAGAUUUAUUUGAAUUAAUUGUCUUAGAGUGGGUUUUGUGUGAUUCUUUGAGCUCGGUUCUUGUCAGUGGGACUCUGGUCAGGGUGCCUGUAGGAGGUGUGAGUGGAUCUGAGGGGGAUGGUGUGAAACAUCCAGCGGUCCCCCCCUUACAGUGAAGCUCCACUGAAAGGUGAACAGGAUGCAGACAUCAUGUCACGGAGGAGGAACAUGUGUCUGUAUCCCACCCUGGACCCUCACUGGAGUCUACAGCCACAAUGUUAGUGCGGCUGGAUGAACCCGAGCAAAGAGCACACGGGAAGACAAGACUGAAGCUAAAUUGAGAGUUUUAAUGUGUCAAAGGCAGGGAUCUGUUGAUGGAGGAAAUGGAGGGAAACUGGGAAGGGAGAGACGGAGACUGGAGACCAGCGGCUGAGCAGACAGGUGGAGUGGGGCGGUGAGGCGGCAGAGAGUGGGCAGAAGGGUUAGAUCCUUUGGCGGGUGGGUUUGCCAAUCGUUCCAGGGGGCCAGUGUACACACGGAGAUCUCCACAGCAGAGGGGGUUCCACGAGGACCAAAAAGGAGGCAGAGCAGGAGAGAUCUGGGCAGCAACAGCGUCGAACUAGGCACAGGAGAAUAUUGAUUAGAAUCAGUCUCUACAAAUACAACAGUGGCAAGAAGUCAACUAGCUGCCAGAGCAGAGUCUACGGUCUGGCAGAGAAAGAGUGAGAGGACUGGUCUUUUAUGGUGGAGGUGUAAUCAGUUCAGAUGUCUUUCGGCUGCUCAUGAUUCAGUGGGAGGGAGAUUGGUAAUUAGUUGCAGCUGGUGAGGGCGGUCCUGUGAGCAACACGGAGAGGGAGAGCGAGUGGGAGAGAGAAAGGAUCAGGUGGAGACAGAGGUCCUGAUACACAAAGAUCAGAGUUCAGGGAGUCACACUGGGAUAUAAGGGGUGGGGGGUUAAAUGUGUUAUUUAAAAUCAGGGUGAAGGUCUCGCCGCCUGAGGGAAGUCUCCAGAAAAAAAGGUAAGAAGUCAGUCAGGAUCCUGUGAAUGCUGCUGCAUGAGAAGGUGAGUUUGGGAUUUGUAUUUUUCAUCCAUGCAUCUCAUAUUUUGACAUCUCAACAAUGACAACGCCUCGACGAGAUUCUGCCGCGUUUUUCUUUUUGGUUUCUUUCAGGCGGACGACCCCGGGACCCAAGGCAGAGACGAGGACGACCCCAGGAGACGACAAAAGACGAGACAGCGAAGACCAGUGAAGACGAGCGACCGAACCCCGACAGAGAAGAAGCCAGAGACGACGACCGGCCAGUGAGGAGAAGGAACAACGACUUUACUGAGACUUUACUGGAUGCGCUGGUGCUUCAGAGAUGAUGGGAGGCAGAUCCAGGACCAGUGCAUGACUCAUGACACCAUUCAAUUAACACAAGAGCUCUCUCUCCAAGACCACCAGACUAAUAAAAGAUCAAAUCAAGAAACAAGACCAGGACCAGCCCAUGAUGUGGAAGAGGGGAUGAUUAUUAUAGUGACACAGAAGGAGGAAGUCAGAACACCCAGAGAAAAACCAUGCAGUCCCAGAGAGAUCAUGAACAGAAAGAAUGAACUGAGCAGCAGAAGACAAAGAAAGAGUUGGAGGAGCCCCAAGAUGACGGAUCAGCGACAGAAGAACCAGGACGGGAAGAUGAAGAAGAUAAAGACCAGUCCAAACAAAGAAGAUGAACUCCUCCAGAUAUCACCAAAGGUUUCUCUGAAUCUUGGAGCUCCAUGUGUCUGAUCCGCUGUUUAUGGCCUCAGUGACCUCCAAAGCCUUCAACUUCUCUCCCUCCUCUUUACCCUCAAACCAACCAGAGUUUUGCUUUUAUUUUUUUUCCCAGAGGGAAGUUUUUUUUCCUUACCCCAACUGGAGGUUUUUUUCAACUUUCUGGCAACAGGAAGUUUUUUUCCUCCAGAUGGGCUUGAUUUGAUCACACUACAAAAAGAGAGAGCCUCAAAUAAAAAACAAAACAACACAACAGAACUGCAUCUGUUUAAAAGUGUAACAUGACGGACCCUUCAUUUAAUAUUUGUUUUUGGAGAACAUAUUUUAUGGCUACAAAACAAUGUUAGUCUGAAUCAGAAAGCCUUUAUUGCCAAGUGAGUCCACACAGGGAAUUUGACUCGGUGCCUGGCAACAACAGACAGUAAAAGUCUGAAAAACGUGGUUUCAAGCCACUGGUUUCUCAAAAACGCCUGGACUCCAUCUUAAAACUGCACAGCAUUGGAACAUACUGCUGGUUGUGUGAUUACUUGGGGUUAAUACACGAGGUAGUAAAUUUGCUAAAUGCACAAAUGCUGCUUACAGUGGUAUUAACAGAUUGUACUAAUUUAAAACUACACUACAAAUUCUGUAGGGUUUCUAUUAGAGUACUUUUACAUAUUUCUCACAAUGGCCUUCACAACUUAAAACAAGUCUGAGGGAUAUUUAUUCAGGUGAAUUUUUUGUCUGAAAUAAUAAUUAAUGAACAAUAAUUAGAUAACCGUUUAUGUGGCUGACAUGUUGAUAUUUCAAUAGACUGGACUGACAGAAUUGUGUAUCCACCAGUUUGAUUCUGUGUCUAAUUUAAAGUCAGAUUCAUGCUUUAAUUGAUGGAAAACUAAAUUUAAAUUGAAGUAACUGACUGAAAUUAGCCUAAUAAUAGUACCCUCUGGUACUGUUUUUAACUGGUUCACGUCCUACCUCACUGACCGAAGUUUCUUUGUAAGUAUGGAUACAUGUUCCUCAGGAACCCAUAAGAUAAAGUGUGGGGUUCCCCAAGCGUCAAUUUUAGGUCCAGCUCUUUUUAAUCUUUACAUGCUGCCCCUUGGGGACGUUAUCAGGAGGCACGGCGUCAGCUUCCACAGUUAUGCUGAUGAUACCCAACUGUACAUCGCCGUGUCUCCUGAUGACACAGGGCCAAUUGAUGCCCUUUUUCACUGUAUUUUAGACAUCAACUCAUGGAUGGCAGCAAACUUCCUGCAGCUCAACCGAGAUAAAACAGAGGUUUUAGUUAUUGGUCCUGAAGGCCAGAGAGAGAAAAUUUUACCAAAGUUACAGGAUUUUAAACCCUCAAGAUCAGUAAAAAAUCUGGGCGUGAUUUUUGACUCUGAGCUCACUUUUAUUCCACACAUCAAAAACAUAACAAAGAUAGGUUUUUACCAACUCAAGAAUAUAGCUAGAGUCCGCCCGUUCCUCUCUCAGGCCAGUACGGAGGUGCUGAUGCAUGCUUUUAUUUCCUGUCGUUUAGAUUACUGUAAUGCCCUGCUCUCUGGUCUUCCUUAAAAGAGAAUGCAUAACUUACAAUUAUUACAAAAUUCAGCCGCACGAGUGCUGUUGAGGACCAGAGGGCGGGAGCAUAUUACACCUAUUUUAAAAUCGCUGCAUUGGCUCCCCGUGCACUUCAGGAUCGAUUUUAAGGUUCUUUUAUUAGUUGAUAAGUGUCUUAAAGGUCUUGGGCCUUCUUAUUUGUCUGCACUACUUUUAUUUUAUCAACCCUCGUGGACCCUGAGGUCCUCUGGUGCUGGCUUUUUAACGAUACCACAAGUUAGAACUAGAACACACGGGGAGGCGGCAUUCAGUUAUUAUGGCCCUCGAUUGUGGAACACCCUCCCAGAGAACCUCAGGGCCGCAGGGAAUGUUGAUGUUUUUAAAAAGAGGCUCAAGACCCAUCUUUUUAAUCAGGCUUUUAACUGACUCAUUUUAACUCUAUAAUUUCUUAAGCUGACCUCUAUUCUUAUAGUUUUUAUUACUCUUUUAUAUAUAAAUUUUUACUUUAUACAUUCUAUUCUUUUAUCCUCAGUUUUAGCUUCCUUACCUUUUAUUUUGUUUUACUGUUUUAGUCCCUCGAUUUUCCAGUGUUUCCUCCUGGGGGCCUUCCACACCUGGAGUUGAUUCUGGUCCACUGAUGGGGGUGCUGGCCCGUGGAUGGCCCUGGCCCGGGUGGCUGGAGAGCUUUACACCUUCGUGUGAAGUCUCUUGUCUGCCUGUGCUGGGGUGGUCCUUGUGUUCGCGCCCCUGUAGUCAUGGUCCAUGACUCCUCUCGGUGUGCGUGGCCCCCAAAGAUAGCUUCUUCCUCACCUCGGAUUUCGGUGCCCAGCCAUAUCGCCUUUAUAUCUCCUUACCAACAGAUGGUCUAUGUGGGUGUGUGUAUGUUGGUAUGUUUGUGUGUGUGGGUAUGUAUGUCUGUUCGUAUGUCUACGUAUGUGUGUGAAUGUAUAUGUGAUUGUGUAUCUGUGUGUAUAUUUGUGGGGGUGGGAGGUUUCGGGUUUUUCAUAGUGUUUUAUAUUGUGUUGUUCUUGUUUUUAUCCUCUGUGAGGCACUUUGUGUUACUGUACUGUAUGAAAAAUGCCAUAUAAAUAAAGUUGAUUUGAUUAAUAA
This is a long non-coding RNA of Acanthochromis polyacanthus (spiny chromis), 5299 nucleotides long. RefSeq lists it as uncharacterized. NCBI's taxonomy places the organism in Eukaryota, Metazoa, Chordata, Actinopteri, Pomacentridae. The transcript is spliced from 7 exons. The record is from RefSeq and is a predicted model, not a curated record.